GACGAACGCUGGCGGCGCGCUUAACACAUGCAAGUCGAACGGAAAGGCCUGCUUUCCCUUGUGGAUUGCGGGUACUCGAGUGGCGAACGGGUGAGUAACACGUGAGUGAUCUGCCCCCAACUUGGGUAUAAGCCUGGGAAACUGGGUCUAAUUCCCGAUAGGACUGCAGGGUGGUGCCUGUGGUGGAAAACGAUUUUCUAGUGGUUGGGGAUGAGCUCGCGGCCUAUCAGCUUGUUGGUGGGGUAAUGGCCUACCAAGGCGGCGACGGGUAGCCGGCCUGGGAGGGUGGACGGCCCCAUUGGGACGGAGCUGCGGCCCAGGCUCCUACGGGAGGCAGCCGUGAGGAGUAUUGCACCAUGGGCGGGAGCCUGAUGCAGCGACGCCGCGUGGGGGAUGACGGCCUUCGGGUUGUAAACUCCUUUCGACCGCGAGGAAGCCACCUGGUUGGAAGGGUGGUGACGGUAGUGGUAGAAGAAGCACCGGCUAACUACGUG
This 494-nucleotide ribosomal RNA is filed under the name uncultured bacterium. RNAcentral describes it as "partial 16S ribosomal RNA". It matches the Rfam family "Bacterial small subunit ribosomal RNA", at positions 28 to 507 of the family's 1533-position model. The record is from RNAcentral.